CCAAUAGCGUAUAUUAAAGUUGUUGCAGUUAAAAAGCUCGUAGUUGAAUUUCGGGACCAUCAUGUCGGUCGUGCCUCGGUACGUACUGGCAUUGUUGGUUUCUCCCUUCUGACGAACCAUGAUGUCAUUUAUUUGGUGUUGUGGGAAAUCAGGACUGUUACUUUGAAAAAAUUAGAGUGUUUAAAGCAGGCUCACGCUUGAAUACAUUAGCAUGGAAUAAUGAAAUAGGACGUUUGAUUCUAUUUUGUUGGUUUCUAGGAUCGAUGUAAUGAUUAAUAGGGAUAGUUGGGGGCAUUAGUAUUCAAUUGUCAGAGGUGAAAUUCUUGGAUUUAUUGAAGACUAACUACUGCGAAAGCAUUUGCCAAGGAUGUUUUCAUUAAUCAAGAACGAAAGUUAGGGGAUCGAAGACGAUCAGAUACCGUCGUAGUCUUAACCAUAAACUAUGCCGACUAGGGAUCGGAUGAUGUUAAUUUUUCAAUGACUCAUUCGGCGCCUUACG
RNAcentral lists this unclassified non-coding RNA (499 nucleotides) under uncultured Glomus. Its description in RNAcentral is "SSU rRNA". It matches the Rfam family "Eukaryotic small subunit ribosomal RNA", at positions 591 to 1092 of the family's 1831-position model. Lineage: Eukaryota; Fungi; Glomeromycota; Glomeromycetes; Glomerales; Glomeraceae. The record is from RNAcentral.